GCGGGUGUAACUCAGUGGUAGAGUGCCAGCUUCCCAAGCUGGUAGCGUGGGUUCGAUCCCCAUCACCCGCUCCA
RNAcentral lists this transfer RNA (74 nucleotides) under Clostridiales bacterium. RNAcentral's name for it is "tRNA-Gly". It matches the Rfam family "tRNA". From Rfam's summary of the family: Transfer RNA (tRNA) molecules are approximately 80 nucleotides in length. Their secondary structure includes four short double-helical elements and three loops (D, anti-codon, and T loops). Lineage: Bacteria; Bacillati; Bacillota; Clostridia; Eubacteriales. The record is from RNAcentral.